GGCUGGCGGUCAGCGCCCAGCUCUGGUGGCUGGGCAGAAUCGGGUCCCGGUCUGGUACCUCUGCAGGCUGGGCAAUUCUCAGCGCUUGUUCCUGCUGCUCCGAUGUCUGAACAGGAGGCGAGAACUGUGCAGGGACACAAACAAGGCAUGACUUGGAUUGCUUCACCUUGAAAUCAGAGAGCUUUGAGAAAAUCAAUCCCCUAAUAAGUAUUCUGCCUAAAGUUUGGAUUGGCACAGUACUGCGCUCACCCUUCUUGUGAUAGAAGAGGAUAAAAUGCCUGCGUGAUGGGAUUAACUGAGGUAAAUGUGACAUAAUUAGGCUACCAUUGACCUCCUGACGAUGUAACAGGAUGAUCUGCUUCUGGACCACAGUUGACGAGGAACUAAGACUGUGGAGAACGGGAGCACAAGCACACAAGCAGGGGGAGCAGCAGAGGGAGAGA
This is a long non-coding RNA of Zalophus californianus (California sea lion), 443 nucleotides long. RefSeq lists it as uncharacterized. The transcript has 4 exons. Lineage: Eukaryota; Metazoa; Chordata; Mammalia; Carnivora; Otariidae. The record is from RefSeq and is a predicted model, not a curated record.